AGUAAGACUCUGUCUCAACAAAGGAAGCAGAGAGCAAUUGAGGAAGACACUUGGCAUGGAUCUCUGGCCUCCAUGUGUGUGCAUGCAUACAUAAACACACACAGAGAGAGAAAGGAGGGCAGAAGAAGAAACAGAAAAAUUAAUUGCAAAGUAUACACUUAAAAAUCCUUAAACCAACAGAAGGAAAAGAGCCCAAAAGAAGGAACAAGAAUCAGAGACCUACUUGUUCACUCACGCAGGAAUCUCACAAAAACGCUAAACUGGAAGCUGUGAUGGAAUCCUUCAGAGGCAUAAGCUCCAGUGUCAUUGUCCCUCUUUCCUGUGGUGGCUCACAGGUCAGGCUACAGCUCUCAGCAACUUCUCCAGCAUCAUGCAUGGUUGCCACCAUGCUUUCUGUCACCACGUUCCCUGCCAUGAUGAUAAUGGACAGAGCCUCUGAAACUGAAAGCGAUCCACUAACGAUAUACUUUAUUUUUUAUUAAGAAUUGCCUUGAUCAUAAUGUCUCUUCAAAAUAAGAGCAGUGACUAAGAGUUGAUAAAAUGCAUACGAUCCUGGCUUCCCAGCACCCACAUUACAAAAGAAAAACAAACAAACAAACAACAACAACCACAAAAGCCAGUUCCUCAUGGUCAUGUGUAUCUAUCUGUAACCCUGUCACUGGCGCUGGGAGGCAGAGACACGUGGAUCCUCCGAACUCACUGGCCAGCAAAUAAAGCCAAUUUGUGAGCA
Molecule: non-coding RNA, 730 nt
Organism: Rattus norvegicus (Norway rat)
Lineage: Eukaryota; Metazoa; Chordata; Mammalia; Rodentia; Muridae
Source: RefSeq, a predicted model, not a curated record